This 229-nucleotide ribosomal RNA is filed under the name uncultured bacterium. RNAcentral's name for it is "partial 16S ribosomal RNA". It matches the Rfam family "Bacterial small subunit ribosomal RNA", at positions 568 to 796 of the family's 1533-position model. The record is from RNAcentral.
GAUGCAGGCGGUGAAGUUAGUCGGGUGUGAAAGCCCAGGGCCCAACCCUGGAACUGCACUCGAAACUGCUUCACUAGAGUCCCGGAGGGGAAGGCGGAAUUCCCGGUGUAGAGGUGAAAUUCGUAGAUAUCGGGAGGAACACCAGUGGCGAAGGCGGCCUUCUGGACGGUGACUGACGCUCAGAUCCGAAAGCGUGGGGAGCAAACAGGAUUAGAUACCCUGGUAGUCC